This 254-nucleotide ribosomal RNA is filed under the name uncultured bacterium. RNAcentral describes it as "partial 16S ribosomal RNA". It matches the Rfam family "Bacterial small subunit ribosomal RNA", at positions 524 to 776 of the family's 1533-position model. The record is from RNAcentral.
UACGUAGGGUGCGAGCGUUGUCCGGAAUUAUUGGGCGUAAAGAGCUCGUAGGCGGUGUGUCACGUCUGCCGUGAAAACCUGCAGCUUAACUGUGGGCGUGCGGUCGAUACGGGCAUCACUGGAGUUCGGCAGGGGAGACUGGAAUUCCUGGUGUAGCGGUGAAAUGCGCAGAUAUCAGGAGGAACACCGGUGGCGAAGGCGGGUCUCUGGGCCGAUACUGACGCUGAGGAGCGAAAGCGUGGGGAGCGAACAGG